UACGGAGGGUGCAAGCGUUAUCCGGAUUCACUGGGUUUAAAGGGUGCGUAGGUGGGUUGGUAAGUCAGUGGUGAAAUCCCCGAGCUUAACUUGGGAACUGCCAUUGAUACUAUCAGUCUUGAAUACUGUGGAGGUCAGCGGAAUAUGUCAUGUAGCGGUGAAAUGCUUAGAUAUGACAUAGAACACCAAUUGCGAAGGCAGCUCACUACGCGAAUAUUGACACUGAGGCACGAAAGCGUGGGGAUCAAACAGG
Molecule: ribosomal RNA, 253 nt
Filed under: uncultured bacterium
Lineage: Bacteria
Description: partial 16S ribosomal RNA
Rfam family: Bacterial small subunit ribosomal RNA
Source: RNAcentral